UACGUAGGUGGCAAGCGUUGUCCGGAUUUAUUGGGUUUAAAGGGUGCGUAGGCGGUUUUGUAAGUCAGUGGUGAAAUACUCCAGCUUAACUGGAGGGGUGCCAAUGAUACUGCAGAACUUGAGUACAGAUGAGGUAGGCGGAAUUGACGGUGUAGCGGUGAAAUGCAUAGAUAUCGUCAAGAACACCGAUAGCGAAGGCAGCUUACUGGGCUGUAACUGACGCUGAGGCACGAAAGUGUGGGGGAUCAAACAGG
Molecule: ribosomal RNA, 254 nt
Filed under: uncultured bacterium
Lineage: Bacteria
Description: partial 16S ribosomal RNA
Rfam family: Bacterial small subunit ribosomal RNA
Source: RNAcentral